This 306-nucleotide long non-coding RNA is filed under the name Jatropha curcas. RNAcentral describes it as "long non-coding RNA (JCUR_LNC002211)". Lineage: Eukaryota; Viridiplantae; Streptophyta; Magnoliopsida; Malpighiales; Euphorbiaceae. The record is from RNAcentral.
GAUCAGUCAGUUACUGAUGAAAAACCAGACACAGGAGAAAAGAAGGAAGAACAAGAAGAAGUUGCAGGAACUAAAGAAGAAGCUGUAGAACCAGAACCAGAAGUUGCAACUGAAGUAGUGGUGGAAACUAAAGAAGUAGUAGAAGAUGAGACCAAAACUGUAACAGAAGAGCCCCCAUCGGAGAAAACUGAAGAAGAAACUCCUAAGGAAACAGAACCAGAAAAAGAAGAAAAGGAAUCCCCAAAAGAAACAGUAACUGAGGAGACUGUUGCUGAGGAGACUACUAAAGAGACCACUGAGAGUACU